CAAUAGCGUAUAUUAAAGUUGUUGCGGUUAAAAAGUUCGUAGUUGGAUUUCUGCCAAGGACGACCGGUCCGCCCUCUGGGUGAGUAUCUGGCUUGGCCUGGGCAUCUUCUUGGAGAACGUUGCUGCACUUCGCUGUGUGGCGCGGUAUCCAGGACCUUUACUUUGAGGAAAUUAGAGUGUUUCAAGCAGGCUUUUGCCUUGAAUACAUUAGCAUGGAAUAAUAAGAUAGGACCUCGGUUCUAUUUUGUUGGUUUCUAGUGCUGGGGUAAUGAUUAAUAGGGAUAGUUGGGGGCAUUCGUAUUUAACUGUCAGAGGUGAAAUUCUUGGAUGUGUUAAAGACGGACUACUGCGAAAGCAUUUGCCAAGGAUGUUUUCAUUGA
Molecule: ribosomal RNA, 380 nt
Filed under: uncultured eukaryote
Lineage: Eukaryota
Description: partial 18S ribosomal RNA
Rfam family: Eukaryotic small subunit ribosomal RNA
Source: RNAcentral